GAGGCAGCAGUGGGGAAUUUUGGACAAUGGGCGAAAGCCUGAUCCAGCAAUGCCGCGUGUGUGAAGAAGGCCUUCGGGUUGUAAAGCACUUUUGUCCGGAAAGAAAUCCUUGGCUCUAAUACAGUCGGGGGAUGACGGUACCGGAAGAAUAAGCACCGGCUAACUACGUGCCAGCAGCCGCGGUAAUACGUAGGGUGCGAGCGUUAAUCGGAAUUACUGGGCGUAAAGCGUGCGCAGGCGGUUUGCUAAGACCGAUGUGAAAUCCCCGGGCUCAACCUGGGAACUGCAUUGGUGACUGGCAGGCUAGAGUAUGGCAGAGGGGGGUAGAAUUCCACGUGUAGCAGUGAAAUGCGUAGAGAUGUGGAGGAAUACCGAUGGCGAAGGCAGCCCCCUGGGCCAAUACUGACGCUCAUGCACGAAAGCGUGGGGAGCAAACAGGAUUAGAUACCCUGGUAGUCCACGCCCUAAACGAUGUCAACUAGUUGUUGGGGAUUCAUUUCCUUAGUAACGUAGCUAACGCGUGAAGUUGACCGCCUGGGGAGUACGGUCGCAAGAUUAAAACUCAAAGGAAUUGACGGGGACCCGCACAAGCGGUGGAUGAUGUGGAUUAAUUCGAUGCAACGCGAAAAACCUUACCUACCCUUGACAUGGUCGGAAUCCCGCUGAGAGGUGGGAGUGCUCGAAAGAGAACCGGCGCACAGGUGCUGCAUGGCUGUCGUCAGCUCGUGUCGUGAGAUGUUGGGUUAAGUCCCGCAACGAGCGCAACCCUUGUCCUUAGUUGCUACGCAAGAGCACUCUAAGGAGACUGCCGGUGACAAACCGGAGGAAGGUGGGGAUGACGUCAAGUCCUCAUGGCCCUUAUGGGUAGGGCUUCACACGUCAUACAAUGGUCGGAACAGAGGGUUGCCAACCCGCGAGGGGGAGCUAAUCCCAGAAAACCGAUCGUAGUCCGGAUUGCACUCUGCAACUCGAGUGCAUGAAGCUGGAAUCGCUAGUAAUCGCGGAUCAGCAUG
Molecule: ribosomal RNA, 1013 nt
Filed under: uncultured Burkholderia sp.
Lineage: Bacteria; Pseudomonadati; Pseudomonadota; Betaproteobacteria; Burkholderiales; Burkholderiaceae
Description: bacterial SSU rRNA
Rfam family: Bacterial small subunit ribosomal RNA
Source: RNAcentral